UCCAGGACUCCAUUCUUUCACUUUAAAGCUAUUUAGUCAAGAAGGCAAUGUUGACACCAUCAGUUAAUUUCCAGGAAAGAACCUUGAAUUAGAGCUCCCAAGAAACCCAAGUUCAGUGUGAAAAUGGAAAAAUAGUCUCACCUAGCUCACAGGGACGUCUUGAGAAGUUACUGGCCUGCCCCUGUGGAACACGCAAGACAGAAAGGUCCUCUACCAGUACCAUUAGCCAAGGGUGUACUGAGCUUGAUCACCAACAUGGAUCCUCACAUAGGACCAAUGGACCCUGUCCAGUAAAAGAAAUAUGCUGUGAAUAUGCAGACUUGGGAUCCACUGGUUAUUAUCACAGGCCACCCUACUCAGCUGACCUGGGAAGAUGAUGGAAGAGUCCCAUUAAGAAGACAUCUGGUAGAUGAAGCACAAGGAAAAUGGCUAUGUUUCAUAGCACAGUAUGGAGCCUAUGUUAACCCUGGAGUAUGGAUGUCUGUCCUCAAUACACAGAGUCCUCAAGUCCAAUAUGGAAUGAGUGAAAAUAAACGUGAUCUUACCUCUC
Molecule: long non-coding RNA, 550 nt
Organism: Peromyscus californicus insignis
Lineage: Eukaryota; Metazoa; Chordata; Mammalia; Rodentia; Cricetidae
Exons: 2
Source: RefSeq, a predicted model, not a curated record